CCGCCCGUCACACCAUGGGAGUGGGUUGCACCAGAAGUAGCCGUGUCAACCGCAAGGAGACAGGUGCCGAAGGUAUGGAUGGUGAUUGGGAUG
Molecule: ribosomal RNA, 93 nt
Filed under: uncultured bacterium
Lineage: Bacteria
Description: partial 16S ribosomal RNA
Source: RNAcentral